UACGUAGGGUGCGAGCGUUUGUCCGGAAUUAUUGGGCGUAAAGAGCUCGUAGGCGGUUUGUCGCGUUCUGCUGUGAAAACCUAAGGCUCAACCCUUGGGCUUGCAGUGGGUACGGGGCAGACUAGAGUGCGGUAGGGGUGACUGGAAUUCCUGGGUGAUACGCGGGUGGAAAUGCGCAGAUAUCAGGAGGAACACCGGAUGGCGAAGGCU
Molecule: ribosomal RNA, 210 nt
Filed under: uncultured bacterium
Lineage: Bacteria
Description: partial 16S ribosomal RNA
Rfam family: Bacterial small subunit ribosomal RNA
Source: RNAcentral